UAGAGAAUCUGCCCUGUACUGGGGGACAACAGAGGGAAACUUCUGCUAAUACCCCAUAUGAGCGUACCUGCGAUGGUAUUCUUGAAAGUUCCGGCGGUACAGGAUGAGUCUGCAUCUGAUUAGCUAGUUGGUGGUGUAAUGGACUACCAAGGCGACGAUCAGUAGCUGGUUUGAGAGGAUGAUCAGCCACAAUGGGACUGAGACACGGCCCAUACUCCUACGGAAGGCAGCAG
Molecule: ribosomal RNA, 233 nt
Filed under: uncultured bacterium
Lineage: Bacteria
Description: partial 16S ribosomal RNA
Rfam family: Bacterial small subunit ribosomal RNA
Source: RNAcentral